UUCGAAGAGUUUGAUCCUGGCUCAGGAUGAACGCUGGCGGUGUGCCUAACACAUGCAAGUCGAACGGGUUUAGGCCCGUGGCAGACGGGUGAGUAAUGGUAAGGAAUGUACCCUCGAGUCGGGUAUACCCCGCCGAAAGGCGGGACAAUCCCCGAUAUCUCUCCGGAGGAAAGUUUUUCGCUCGAGGAGCAGCCUUACUCCCAUCAGCUAGUUGGUAGGGUAAUGGCCUACCAAGGCUACGACGGGUAGCUGGCGUGAGAGCGCGACCAGCCACAAUGGGACUGAGACACGGCCCAUACUCCUACGGGAGGCAGCAGUUGGGAAUAUUGGACAAUGGGCGAAAGCCUGAUCCAGCUACGCCGCGUGGGUGAUGAAGGCCUUCGGGUCGUAAAGCCCUGUCAGCAGAGACGAAACCUUAAGAUUCGAAUAGGAUCUUGAGCUGACGGUACCUGCGGAGGAAGCACCGGCUAACUCCGUGCCA
RNAcentral lists this ribosomal RNA (481 nucleotides) under Candidatus Berkelbacteria bacterium. RNAcentral describes it as "bacterial SSU rRNA". It matches the Rfam family "Bacterial small subunit ribosomal RNA", at positions 1 to 510 of the family's 1533-position model. Lineage: Bacteria; Candidatus Berkelbacteria. The record is from RNAcentral.